RNAcentral lists this ribosomal RNA (444 nucleotides) under uncultured bacterium. Its description in RNAcentral is "bacterial SSU rRNA". It matches the Rfam family "Bacterial small subunit ribosomal RNA", at positions 354 to 796 of the family's 1533-position model. The record is from RNAcentral.
GUGGGGAAUUUUGGACAAUGGGCGCAAGCCUGAUCCAGCAAUGCCGCGUGCAGGAAGAAGGCCUUCGGGUUGUAAACUGCUUUUAACCGGGAAGAAACCCCAGGACGUGUCCUGGGUUGACGGUACCGGAGGAAUAAGCACCGGCUAACUUCGUGCCAGCAGCCGCGGUAAUACGAAGGGUGCAAGCGUUAUCCGGAUUCAUUGGGUUUAAAGGGUGCGUAGGCGGAGCGUUAAGUCAGUGGUGAAAUCCUGCAGCUUAACUGUAGACUUGCCAUUGAUACUGGCGCUCUUGAGUGCGAUUGAAGUGGGCGGAAUGUGCCGUGUAGCGGUGAAAUGCUUAGAUAUGGCACAGAACACCAAUUGCGAAGGCAGCUCACUAAGGCGAUACUGACGCUGAGGCACGAAAGCGUGGGGAUCGAACAGGAUUAGAUACCCUAGUAGUCC